This is a long non-coding RNA of Mesocricetus auratus (golden hamster), 1875 nucleotides long. RefSeq lists it as uncharacterized. Lineage: Eukaryota; Metazoa; Chordata; Mammalia; Rodentia; Cricetidae. The record is from RefSeq and is a predicted model, not a curated record. The transcript is spliced from 4 exons.
CUCAGUUUCCUCGCCUGCAAAUCCAGAGCUGGAAACUCCCAUCUGCCUGGGAUUCCAUGUACUGAUGAGUUCAGUGUUGGUGAAAGCAAUGGGUGUCAGUGUGGUAGGAGGGCCUGGGCUGGGCAUCAUCUGCUGAGACAAGGGGAGGCCUGGAUCUGGACCCCAGCUUUAGAGGCCUGGGUCUGACCCUCCCUUCCAUCUUCUUGUUUCAAAAGCUGAACACACUUUUCUCCUUUAUCCAACAGUGAGUACAUCACACACAGCUCUUCCCUUGGCAAUGUACUUUUCACAAGCAUCCAAAGACUCUGGCAUUGACCAGGGUGCCCAUCACAGGAAAGGCUGUGACCUUAGCUCUAGGCAAUGGCUCCUUCCCAUCUCCCUCUCCACCACCCCCAAAAGAAACUCCACCUCCAUCUGAAAACAAACAACUGGUAUAUUUGCAGAGCCGCUGAUGGUGAGCCGGGGCCGCUCAGGAGUAUUGUGCCUUCUCUAUAACGACAUUCAUUACACUGUCUGACAUCAAUACUGCUCCUGGGUUAAUCUGUUUAACUUAAUGAGGCAUUUGUUCUCAGUGAGAAAACUCCUGAAGAAGCAUGUUUGCUCCUGAUGGGCUGAGCCCGUGAAUAGAUUAACACUGGGCUGGAAAAGCCAACCAGGAAAAUGAAUCUAACUGAUCCCUUUUUCUUUUUCAGGUGGGGCUAAGGCUAGGCUAAUCUGUGUUCAGAUGAUCAUUUGUUAGAGAAGGAACAGGCUGAAGUAACUUCUCCCACAAUGGCUUAUUUCCCUCCUCUAGCCUCCAACCCCUGCUUCCACCUCUCAGUUAUGAAAAGGCGUGUGGGGUGGGAAGGAAAUGACCCCAGAACUGAGCAGCAACAAGGACCAGAGUGAGAGCUGGCAGCUCCCAUAUGACAAUUGGACGUCUAUAGCCAGUCUGGUAUGAGCAACUCUACGAGGUUCACUGUCAGAGCCCUCAUGCUCAGCACCUAGUGGGUGCUCAUGGAUGUUUUCUGAAGGUGCAAAGGGGAUGCUCAGCCAUGGCAACCCCACAGCGAGGACAUGUCAGAAAAGUUGAACUGAGUCGCAGACACUGUCUAAUAAAAAUGUCACUGGACUAGAAACCUUGAAUCCUGGUACAGCUGUGUGUUCCUUUGUGUGAAAUGACCGUCUCCUCUCCAUGAGCCACGGAACUCCAUGGCCCCUGCCUUCAGGAUGCCUUCUGAGGAAUAAUGCUCCCGCAAUGCCUUUGGAUUCCAUUCUCUAAUUCUGCCCCCAUAUCGGGAAAGAAACCUGCAGGCUUGGAAAGCUGCUCACUGUCCACUAAUGUCUGCUUUUCAAGUAUUCUGACAUUUCCAUCCUCCCAGGUGAAAGACUCUUUGGGCUCGCUCUGAGAAGUCGCACCUGCAUCUCAUGCCUACCUAUGGACCAUUCAGCUCUUUGUUACACCAAUAACAGCAAAAUAUCUUCGCACGGUGUACAAACAUCCCACAACACAGCCUGCGGUUUCUCCUUGCUGGAAAGGAUUGCAACUAACACAGAAAGACAGUAUUUCUAAAGAGACAUUUUACCUAUCAGACUGUCAGAACAAAGGCCCUCGAGAAACUGAAAUUCCACCAGGAAUCUUAUGCUGAAAUCCCAAACCUGGGCCAGUCACGAUUUUUCUCCAAAACCCUUGUCUGAAGGAAAGAGAUGUACAACCUUACAAAGAUGGUUGUUGACAAUGAUGGCACUGGGACCACAGCUUGACCAAGACUGCUUGGAUGUACACAUCCUUCAUCUCACUCAGGACUCUGAAGACAGACUUAGGAAGCUUCCUGGAUCUCUUUGUCCUCCCUUCCUAAUGUGGCCAAGUUGAAUAAAUCUCAUUUUUUAAAAUUU